Maniola jurtina (meadow brown) is the source of this 98-nucleotide long non-coding RNA. RefSeq lists it as uncharacterized. NCBI's taxonomy places the organism in Eukaryota, Metazoa, Arthropoda, Insecta, Lepidoptera, Nymphalidae. The record is from RefSeq and is a predicted model, not a curated record. The transcript has 3 exons.
UUCGUAUUAGGUCAUCGUUCCUCCCUGUGCUAGGGAUAAAACACAGAGAAACUUUCAGCUUUUAUAAAAUAACGAAGUCUGGCACGCGCUGGCUCUCU